GGGGCCCGCACAAGCGGUGGAGCAUGUGGUUUAAUUCGAUGAUACGCGAGGAACCUUACCUGGGCUCAAAUGUAUGUUGACGUAUUCUGAAAGGGAUACUUCUUCGGACAAUAUACAAGGUGCUGCAUGGUUGUCGUCAGCUCGUGCCGUGAGGUGUCGGGUUAAGUCCCAUAACGAGCGCAACCCCUAUCAUUAGUUGCCAUCAGGUCAAGCUGGGGACUCUAAUGAAACUGCCUACGCAAGUAGUGAGGAAGGUGGGGAUGACGUCAAAUCAGCACGGCCCUUACGGCCUGGGCUACACACGUGCUACAAUGGUCGGUACAAAGGGUUGCCAAGCCGCGAGGUGGAGCUAAUCCCAUAAAACCGAUCGUAGUCCGGAUCGCAGUCUGCAACUCGACUGCGUGAAGUCGGAAUCGCUAGUAAUCGUGAAUCAGAAUGUCACGGUGAAUACGUUCCCGGGCCUU
This 464-nucleotide ribosomal RNA is filed under the name uncultured Sphingobacteriales bacterium. RNAcentral's name for it is "bacterial SSU rRNA". It matches the Rfam family "Bacterial small subunit ribosomal RNA", at positions 916 to 1382 of the family's 1533-position model. The record is from RNAcentral. Lineage: Bacteria; Pseudomonadati; Bacteroidota; Sphingobacteriia; Sphingobacteriales.